GUAGGUGGCAAGCGUUGUCCGGAAUUAUUGGGCGUAAAGCGCGCGCAGGCGGUUCUUUAAGUCUGAUGUGAAAGCCCACGGGCUCAACCGUGGAGGGUCAUUGGAAACUGGAGAACUUGAGUACAGAAGAGGAAAGCGGAAUUCCACGUGUAGCGGUGAAAUGCGUAGAGAUGUGGAGGAACACCAGUGGCGAAGGCGGCUUUCUGGUCUGUAACUGGCGCUGAGGCGCGAAAGCGUGGGGAGCAAACAGGAUUAGAUACCCUGGUAGUCCACGCCGUAAACGAUGAGUGCUAAGUGUUAGGGGGGUUUCCGCCCCUUAGUGCUGCAGCUAACGCAUUAAGCACUCCGCCUGGGGAGUACGGCCGCAAGGCUG
Molecule: ribosomal RNA, 373 nt
Filed under: uncultured organism
Description: partial 16S ribosomal RNA
Rfam family: Bacterial small subunit ribosomal RNA
Source: RNAcentral